RNAcentral lists this ribosomal RNA (500 nucleotides) under uncultured bacterium. RNAcentral's name for it is "partial 16S ribosomal RNA". It matches the Rfam family "Bacterial small subunit ribosomal RNA", at positions 30 to 523 of the family's 1533-position model. The record is from RNAcentral.
AUUGAACGCUGGCGGCAUGCCUUACACAUGCAAGUCGAACGGCAGCACGGGAGCAAUCCUGGUGGCGAGUGGCGAACGGGUGAGUAAAGUAUCGGAACGUGCCCAGUCGUGGGGGAUAACGUAGCGAAAGUUACGCUAAUACCGAAUACGAUCUAUGGAUGAAAGCGGGGGAUCGCAAGACCUCGCGCGAUUGGAGGGGCCGGUAUCAGAUUAGGUAGUUGGUGGGGUAAAGGCUCACCAAGCCGCCGAUCUGUAGCUGGUCUGAGAGGACGACCAGCCACACUGGGACUGAGACACGGCCCAGACUCCUACGGGAGGCAGCAGUGGGGAAUUGUGGACAAUGGGCGAAAGCCUGAUCCAGCCAUGCCGCGUGCAGGAUGAAGGCCUUCGGGUUGUAAACUGCUUUUGUACGGAACGAAAAGGUUUGGCCUAAUAAGCUGAGCUCAUGACGGUACCGUAAGAAUAAGCACCGGCUAACUACGUGCCAGCAGCCGCCGUAA